CUACGGGCCGCUCCAGUGGGGAAUAUUGCACAAUGGAGGAAACUCUGAUGCAGCAACGCCGCGUGGAGGAUGACACUUUUCGGAGCGUAAACUCCUUUUAUAUAGGAAGAAGAUGACGGUACUAUAUGAAUAAGCGCCGGCUAACUCCGUGCCAGCAGCCGCGGUAAUACGGAGGGCGCAAGCGUUACUCGGAAUCACUGGGCGUAAAGAGCGUGUAGGCGGAUUAAAAAGUCAGAAGUGAAAUCCUAUAGCUUAACUAUAGAACUGCUUCUGAAACUCUUAAUCUAGAAUAUGGGAGAGGUAGAUGGAAUUUCUGGUGUAGGGGUAAAAUCCGUAGAGAUGAGAAGGAAUACCGAUUGCGAAGGCGAUCUACUAGAACAUUAUUGACGCUGAGACGCGAAAGCGUGGGGAGCAAACAGGAUUAGAUACCCUCGUAGUC
RNAcentral lists this ribosomal RNA (439 nucleotides) under uncultured bacterium. RNAcentral's name for it is "partial 16S ribosomal RNA". It matches the Rfam family "Bacterial small subunit ribosomal RNA", at positions 339 to 795 of the family's 1533-position model. The record is from RNAcentral.